ACUGUCAGUGAUGAUGUGCUUCCCGCCUUGUUUGAGUGUAUCAGCCAUGAGAAAACUAGCAUGCACUACCAUCUGAGACAGA
Thalassophryne amazonica is the source of this 82-nucleotide small nucleolar RNA. NCBI's taxonomy places the organism in Eukaryota, Metazoa, Chordata, Actinopteri, Batrachoidiformes, Batrachoididae. The record is from RefSeq and is a predicted model, not a curated record.